UACGGGGGGGGCAAGCGUUGUUCGGAAUUACUGGGCGUAAAGGGCUCGUAGGCGGCUCGCUAAGUCAGACGUGAAAGCCCUCGGCUUAACCGGGGAACGGCGUCUGAGACUGGCAAGCUUGAAUCCGGGAGAGGGAUGCGGAAUUCCAGGUGUAGCGGUGAAAUGCGUAGAUAUCUGGAGGAACACCGGUGGCGAAGGCGGCAUCCUGGACCGGUAUUGACGCUGAGGAGCGAAAGCCAGGGGAGCAAACGGG
RNAcentral lists this ribosomal RNA (253 nucleotides) under uncultured bacterium. RNAcentral describes it as "partial 16S ribosomal RNA". It matches the Rfam family "Bacterial small subunit ribosomal RNA", at positions 524 to 776 of the family's 1533-position model. The record is from RNAcentral.